CCCGUGCGCAGGGUCUCCGCAAUUUUUUAUGUUCGCGCGCGCUCGGCGAGUGGCGGGCGUGGAGGUCGCCUUCGCCGCCGACAUCACAGCGGCUUUCCGGCUGUGCUCUGCUCCACCACCCAACCACCCUUUCGACGUACUCCAGGAGGAUUCAACCGGCUGUUACCGGAGCCCGCGCCGUGCUGCGCCCGUGCGACGACAACGCGACAAGGGAAAAGAAGGUCAUAAUCCCGAGCUUUCUGGGAACUUCGUCCGGGAUAUUUGUGUUAUUUCCAAGAAACUCCAAUAGCCAGAGAACAACCCAUGUGUAGAAAAAUAAUAUGAUACUUCCGAGCCACAGGUCACGUGAUAAUGGCUCAACGAAAAUCCAUGUGUUGUUAGUUCUGCUGCUCUUGGCUGGAACAACCAUUGCCACUCCUGAUUCUGUGUACGGUAGAGCGAAGUCGACAUAAGACAUUCUGUUCUCUGAGAUUGUUAUGUCUCCAAUUGCUAUAUCGUAUUUCUGCAAGUGCAUCAAACAGAGUUACUUUACUGACCAGCAAAAUGAUGAUGCUUAAUCUUUGUUAUGAAAGCUGUAACUAUGCCAUGAGGAUAUGAAUAGGUUAACUGAGAAGAGCCUAACUAUGCCAUGUGUUCUUAUCAUGUAAAGAUGACGUGUAUAUUCCUUUGAUAUUGUAUUUUACCUUAUGAGUUGCAAGCAACAGAUGGCAUGUUACAAUUUUUUGCUACAAUAGCAUAGUACUUACAAGAAUGGUUACCAGACCAAUAGGGAAGCAUGAUAUGGUGGUUAUACACACUAUACAAUGGAGAAAUAUGGCCCCAAUUAGAAUUCAAUUUGGGUAUUUAUCCUCGUCGUAUCCUUUAUAUGGAAAUCCAGGGCCAGGGGAUCAUUCCCUUGACUCUUACUGAUGAUAUUUUACUCCAUCAGAAAUUGAACAAAAAGCUGCCAAAUUGGCCUAUUUCUUGCGCGUAGCUACCAAUUGAAGUAUUUUGAGGAUUUUUUUAAACUGAAUUGGAUGGAGAAAAUAAGAACUGGAAGAAGAAAAGUUUUCUCAACAGGGGGAGGAAGUCCCUUCGAAAUUGGAUUUGUUGCUGUAAGGGGAUUUUCAAGUAUUAUCUAAAGGAAGGAACAAACGAGGAUAAGAGAAAAUUCCUUUUAAUUUACUUUAUCCAGAUGCCGACAGAGGGAUCACACUCCGAUAGGGAACGCGAGCAUCAAUUUCUUGGAGGGCGUCGAUGAGAUAUGGUGAGAUAAUCAUAGGGAUAUUUCCUUGAUCCAUCUGGAGGAUUUUUUCAAGAACUUUUACCUGCUGAUGCAGCUUCUACGCUGUUACUUUUGGAGUCCCUGAUGUGGAGAACUACCUUCGGGCUGUAGUUUCUGUGGACCGUAUAGAAGUCUUCCAGAGCCAUCAAAAGGCUGGUCCGCGCCAUCUUGCCCCGCAAUGAUUCCAAGUUGAGGAUCACUCCAACGGGGAACUCAUCUGCUCCACUCGUGGUAGCAUUUUGAGCUAUGCCGGAGUGGAUGAUGAGUAACAGGAAGAAGGUGAUUUGAGAUGCUCUCUCCAUUGACGGUGCUGCAAGGUUUGUGAAGUAUUUUGUGCCCAGAAUCCAAGCCUACUGUGGCUUUUAUAAAGUUGGUUUCUUCAAGCUAAAAGCUUAGCAUGAUGGCGUAGUUGUAGUUUCCGAAGGUCAAAUGACGUAGCACGGCCGGCCAAGAAUUUAAAUACUAAUAGGUAGCUUAGGACAUGCUGCAGUGAUGAGUUCUAUAAUAGUGGAGCACUCCUUCUCUGCAUGUUACCCAGGUACUUAAAUACUAACUGACCAGUAGCUCCUUCCAUUCAAUCUUGCAAUAUAUCACUUGAAAGUGACAGGAGCUGUUAUCUAAUUGUUUUCAAACGUUUGCUCUGUUUCCUGAAGCAACUGAAUUCUGUUGACACGAUUUUUGCUGUUUAUAUAAAUUCCAAUUGCCCCCUUUUAAUA
Triticum aestivum (bread wheat) is the source of this 1980-nucleotide long non-coding RNA. RefSeq lists it as uncharacterized. The record is from RefSeq and is a predicted model, not a curated record. Lineage: Eukaryota; Viridiplantae; Streptophyta; Magnoliopsida; Poales; Poaceae. The transcript is spliced from 6 exons.